AAGGAAACGAUGAACUUCAACAGGUUCCACAUAUUUGUUCUUCUCUCUUUGCUAUUCUUCUCUCUCUCUCUGCCAACAAUCCACGGUUGGGGAGUAGAUGGGCAUCUCACGGUUUGCAGGAUUGCUCAGGCUCGUUUAAACAAAGCUGCGGCAGAUGCCGUGAAGCAACUUCUCCCAGACUACGCAGAGAAUGAUCGGAAGUCUCUGCUCAUGGGCAGACCAUGUCAAAUUUAGGUAUCACUGGUCAUCUGCCCUUCACUACAUCGAUACUCCUGAUGCAGCUACCAGUAUAACACCUAGAAUUGUGGUACAAUGCAGUUCUAGUAUUAUUAGCGGGCUACAUGAAAAAUGCUACGGUUGAUAUAUCUGCUUUCUCAAUUUGCCUCAACAUCACUUCAUGGGAGUUUAUGAUAUCACUUGGAUUCUUGUCUGCAGCUUGUGUGCGAGUAGCAAAUGAAUUGGGAAGAGGAGAUGCAAAAGCUGCAAUAUUCUCAAUUAAAGUCAAUCUAUGCACAUCAUUGUGUAUUGGAUUGCUUUUCUGGGUUCUGGCUUUGGUCUUUGGUCACGUCAUUUCUUAUGCAUUUACAUCUAGCACAGAGAUUGCCAAAGCUGUGUCAAGUCUUUCCGUCCUACUGGCUUUCUCUAUCUUGCUCAAUAGUAUUCAACCAGUACUCUCAGGAGUGGCUAUAGGUGCUGGUUGGCAAGCUAUAGUGGCAUAUGUCAAUAUUAGUUGCUACUAUGUUGUUGGAGUUCCUGUUGGGAUUAUUCUUGGAUAUGUUGCUGGGCUGGAGUUAGGGGUAUCUGGAUUGGAAUGAUAUGUGGAGUUGCAUUACAAAAUCUUAUGCUUAUUUUAAUUACUUGGAGAACUAAUUGGAAUGAUCAGGUUAAAAAGGCACAUGAACGCCUUAACCGAUGGUUCUUAGCACCUUCUGAAGAGUCCAAUGAGAAUACGAGCCCCUGAUCAGUUACCUGAUUAAUGACUAAAAUAAACUGGUGCAACUAAAAGUGAGCUUCAAUCUCAUUCCAGCCAAAAGUUAAAUUUAAUUAAUAGUUUAUUAGCAAGUUUUGUAAAGAUCCAGAGUUGUUCUGAACAACAACAUCUCUCUACAAGCUUUUCAAAUCAAGGAACAGAGGAAAGUAUUAAUGGUAUGCUCCUCAACAAAGGUUAUCCUCCUUACCACCUACAGUGGCAUUUUUGUUCUUGUCCAAGAUCCAAUUGAGCUUUUGGUGGAAUUGGUAACAAUAAUCUUGAAUUAUUUCUUAAUCUUUUGUUCAAUUAAGCAAAGAUUUUAUUGGGUUAAAGUACAAAUACUCUUGAUUCAUCUAAUGUUUAAUUGA
Molecule: non-coding RNA, 1338 nt
Organism: Nelumbo nucifera (sacred lotus)
Lineage: Eukaryota; Viridiplantae; Streptophyta; Magnoliopsida; Proteales; Nelumbonaceae
Source: RefSeq, a predicted model, not a curated record